This 4564-nucleotide long non-coding RNA is filed under the name Homo sapiens (human). RNAcentral describes it as "non-protein coding lnc-KIAA0040-2:3". Lineage: Eukaryota; Metazoa; Chordata; Mammalia; Primates; Hominidae. The record is from RNAcentral.
CCGGGGCCCUACACGCCAGACCUGGCUCGGGGUGGGAGUGCAGAGGCAACCAAAAAGGAACCCACACCUCCCUCCAGGGCCCGGGGCGCUGUCAGACGGGGCAGCAACCAGGAGAUUCCCUGGGCCUGCAGGAAGCCCUUCCGCGGACCGAAAGAUUGUUCCCCAUUUUGGAGAUGAAGAAACUGAGACUCAAAGCAGCUGAGUGACCUUCCCAAGGACACACACUGAACUGGGCGGUGAUCAGGAUCUGAAUGCACAGGGCGGGUGUUCAGCGAUUGUUUACUACGUUGAACGUGACCUCCAGGAAAGCAGUUCUGGCCGAGAUCCCCUGACAACGCAAAGCAAGAAGUAACGUGGAAGGAGGCUCCCCAAGCUGGCUGGCCAUUUUGCUGCUGUGUGUGGAGGUGCUGCCAGUGGCAUGCCCAAACCCAAAGCUGGAAGAGGAAUAAAUUACAAGUGGUCAAGGUUGCAUCCUUUUGAGCCCAGGACCUGCUUGUAAGCCGAGAGGGUUCUCUGGCCCUAAUCUAGCCAAGCACCAUGGAGAGAAUCAGUGCCUUCUUCAGCUCUAUCUGGGACACCAUCUUGACCAAACACCAAGAAGGCAUCUACAACACCAUCUGCCUGGGAGUCCUCCUGGGCCUGCCACUCUUGGUGAUCAUCACACUCCUCUUCAUCUGUUGCCAUUGCUGCUGGAGCCCACCAGGCAAGAGGGGCCAGCAGCCAGAGAAGAACAAGAAGAAGAAGAAGAAGAAGAAGAAGAAGGAUGAAGAAGACCUCUGGAUCUCUGCUCAACCCAAGCUUCUCCAGAUGGAGAAGAGACCAUCACUGCCUGUUUAGUUAGGCAGGAAGCAGAGGUGUUUCCUUUCUGGGGCUAAGCCUCCUUCUGACCACACACAGACAUUUCAGGAACCCCUGAAAUAAUGCACUAUGUCCAUGUCCACAGAGUAACUACUCAACCAAGGAACAAACCUCAGACUAAGUGUCCCAGUGGAGGGCAGUCCCAGGGACCACGUGGACAAUUCUUGGAUACUGUCUUGGCAGCUAUGUGUCCAAUAGCAAUGCUCCUUACUGCAGACCCAGGCAUGCCUCCCACCUGUCUCUGGCAUACCCCACAUGCAAAGCACAAAGAACAUUUAUCCAUACAUCUCAAUAUGGUUCCCAAGUGUGUGCACAUGCACGUAACACACACACACACAAAUUCAGGUAGCAGGUACGUGGGCAAGUAUAUUCUGCUCAUCAAAUGGUCAUUGGCUAUGUACUUUGUGCAGGGAAGUACAUUAUCUACAGUCACAAAAAUGUCUCAUGGGAAAGCCUUGCCAGAUUCAGACACAUAUAUACAAUUUCCUAACCAGCAAGGCCCCCAUACACCAUCUAUUCCAUAAACCACUCAGGUUACAGAUGCAUGCUUUCCUAUUUCUAACUCUACACAUAAACUUUUACUGGAAGUACUCAUAAUUGGACAUUCCAGCAACCUGCUACAGUCCCCACCCUUGUGUGUCUUGAUACAGACACACCAAGUUUCUGUGCCUCUGACCCCUCACCUGUGCCAAGAUGUUUAAAGUGUGAUGGUUCAAAAUUCAUUGAAAGCUCUUUUCUUGUAACUCAUGACAAAGUCCGUCCUCAUUGCCACUGAGAGGUGUUUAAUGUGAUCCAAGACCUCUCUGUGAAACAUUACCCCCGCAAACCACUCAGCAAAGUGCCUUUCUCCAAGCAAGAACAAAGAGCUCUUGGUGGUGACUGCUAGAAAAUUAUGGAAGCCCACUCAUUUAUGUCAGUGGACUGCAACUGUGUACCUGUGCAAUGUUUACAGAUGGAAAGGGUGAGGAGAUGCUACACCUGAGCUAGGUAUCUCCUAUAUAACCAAAGUUUCCAGCAGGGAAGGAACUAGACAAUCAUCAGUGCAGUCUCACAGAAGGCAACACUGGAAGUGAUGUCAUAAGGUUGUGAUGUGUGCACGGUAUGGCACAGGUGGGAUGCAGAGGUAACAGAGUUUAAAUGAAAGUAGGAUGAAGCUAUAAAGAGGUUUAUUUAUAUUUAUAUUGAAGCUCAGGCAAGUGCCUUGCACACAGUAGGUACUUAUAACUAACUGUGGUUACUGUUGGAUAUGUGAUGUUGUUAAGGGUAAGCUUGUAAUACCUCACCAGUUCUCCCCGAGUGAUCUUCUCUUCUAAGUGAGCCCACUAAUUGCUGCAAUGGAUGAAAUUGGGUGUUUAAUGCUGGAGAGCACAUGUAGGUGACACAUGUGCCUUGAGGUAUGUGAGGACAUGUAAAUUAGAUCCACAGUGAGCUGAGGAGGGCUUUCCCCGCCAGAGUGAGGUUGGGAAGCAGAGUUAAUCCACUUAUAGGAUGAACUGCUUGGUAUUUUUAUUGUAUUGUGACUGUAUUACAAAGAUGGACAAUUCACUCCUUGGGAGCAAGUUAUGCUCUAGAAGUUUAUUUACAAAUAUGCUGGGCAGCUCUCUUGAAAUAUUUUCCCAAGGAAGCUAUUCUACACAGUGGCAAAAUUGCUAUCUAAUUAAUAAUGUAGCUAAACUAUGAUAUUUAUAGUAGCAAAAAACUAAAUUCUAUAAGAUUGCAUUAAAGGAAAGAUAUAUUCUAUUUGCUCACUUGGGCUGCUUGGUACUCACCUGCCCUCCAGGUGUACUUUAGGCCUGUGGAGGGUGGGCAUUUAGUGGUGACCCUUGCACCAGGGUUUUCUAACAGAUGACCCUGUGAAUCAUAAUUUAAACCUGCAUAUAUUUUAUAGCCAGUCACAUUUGCCCUCUCACCCUAUAUGGCCAUAAACUGCCUAAGCACUCAGGCCUCCCACUCAUCAACCCCUUUGACCAGAGAAAGAAGCACUCUGGUUCUCUAUCCCCUUGUCACAUAGAGAGUUUGUCAUGGGGCCUCUGGCUGUGCCCUUCACAUAACAGAAUGACUUGCCAUCUGCCUGCACCAAACCCAGGGAUGUGGAAGACAUCUCCCCACAACUGCCACUGCUCACCAGGACAAGCUGCCCUUCCUGUCUCCACCUCUCAGUCCCCCUAGAAUGGAUGGCUGGGGAGAGGUGGAGGCUGACAGCUGAGACGUAGUGUCAGAUAUGAUCUAGGAGGGCGGAUCACCGGGAUCCGGGACCAUACAAGUAACAUGGUUUCCAUGGCAACUGCUUGCUCCUUUGAAUUAAGACAGCAGUCAGUUGUCAUUGCCAUGACAAGGCCUCUAUCUCCAGGCACAAUGUCCCUGCUGUCUCCUAAUCCAAUGGACUUGCUCUCACCCCAGGGAUGAAACACCCAGAAACUCACUUCUCAGUCACUUCCACAGCCGAUGACUCAGAAGAGCCAAACCCAGAAUGGGGCCUCUCUUUUCCCCAUCACAGACUCCCCUGACAACCUUUCCUGGCGUAACUAGAGGAGUCCCAGUGCAGGAUAGGCCCUAAACGUUUUGUUAAAUAAACAGGUGCAUGAAAGGAGCCUAAGGCCAUUGUUGAUAUCCACUCUCUUCUUUCCACUUCCUUCUCAUCUUUUUCUCCAUGUUUUAUGCUUCUCUGAUUCCCUCUUCUGCCUGCACCAGACCAGCCCCAGCCCUUUAUUCCUCUCCAUUUUCACUCCUUCCAGCCUCUGUCCCUGAACUGCCACUGGCAACCCAUGGGACCUCAGGACCAGAGACUGCUUGACUCAUCUGGGGAGGGUAAGUUCACGGGGGACAAAAAAAUGAUUCCUAAAGAAGAGGCUUCCUAGACCAGCACAGGCUCGAGAAAGACAUCCCCUAGGCCUGGACUUCUGAGCAGCUUUAGCCAGGCUCCGGACGGCAGCCAGAGGAGGCCUUUCCCCAUUGCUCCUUUCCCCAUUGCUCAAUGGAUUCCAUGUUUCUUUUUCUUGGGGGGAGCAGGGAGGGAGAAAGGUAGAAAAAUGGCAGCCACCUUUCCAAGAAAAAUAUAAAGGGUCCAAGCUGUAUAGUAUUUGUCAGUAUUUUUUUCUGUAAAAUUCAAACACACACAAAAGAAAAAUUUAUUUAAAUAAAAUACUUUGAAAAUGAAAAGUCUUGAUGUAGUCAGAUGGUUACUCUCUUAACAUUAGGUAUUACCCCCACUCAGACAUCACUCAGAAAUGAUCAAUGCAGGGACUCUUUCUGUGACACAAAUGUCCCAGCCCUCCCUGGUCACCGCCUUCGCCAUGGUAGAGUCAUAGGUCUGAGGAUGAGGAAUGUGGCUGUCUCACCCUUGCUUGCAAAACAGAUGGCCUUGGAGACCAGACUCCCUCAAAGGUGCCAGCUACAGGAAAAAUAUACUGAUGUUCCUUGGCAACACUUACAGAACUUUCCAUCAAUGAGGUCCAUCAAUGGCUUCUUAAAGGAAAAGGGGGGAAAUAGCAAAAACCUAAGGAAGAAUGGACCUUUGAGUUAAAUCCAGUGUUUGUUGGGAAAGGAGGGAUCAAAAACCUCUAUAGUAGCCACUAGGGCAAAAACUGUGUGUAUGUGUGUGUGUAAGUGUGUGUACACUGUUCAAUAUGGUUCAAUAUGGUACCAAUAGCCACAUGUGACUAUUUAAAUUCAUUGCAAUGAAAUAAAAUUAAAGGUAUACUAGCUC